CGCCUAGCGUGGCCCAGGGGCCACGGGACGACUCCCAUGCGGGGGCUCCGGCCGGAAAGAGGAGGAACUUGCUAGUUACUAAGUGUCCUGUCCGGCGUGUGGGGUCAAGGACAGGAGGACGGGGAGAGCCGGGGGGUCUGGCUCCGGCUCCGGCUCGCAGCGUGACCUUGGCCGGUCGCUGUCCCUCUCUGGGCUUCCGCCUCCCUGUCUGCCUGCGCGCGGUGGGUGAGGGCUCCCCACAACCCUUCGGCCCUAAAUCCUGCUCAGCUGCAUCCAGAAGGGGGCCUAGGCCCUGUCCGUCCAAGCUGUGGGCACCCCGAGAAGGGCGGCCUGGUGGCACUGGGCCUCUCUGGGGCUGAUGCAGCUGCCCCGGGGGACUCCAGCACACGCUCUCUGAGGCCCUCCCCCGGGCGAGCCCGAGGGGUGCGGGUGCCCAGAGGUGCUCCUGCUCAGGUCCGCCAGCUCCAUCCUGAGGACCGUGUUCUUAAGCAGACUGCCGCCCGGGGGGCCCAGGUGUGUCUGCAAACUUAGUUUGAACGUGUGGUACCUGCAAGGCGCGAGGCCGCAUGUGAGAAGCAGCUCCCUGACCGACGGACACACACUCUCCAAAGAGUCCCUAAGCCACGCUCUCGACCUCUCGUCCCCGGAGAAGGCCGAGGAUGCUCAGCCCAACUC
Molecule: long non-coding RNA, 675 nt
Organism: Myotis davidii
Lineage: Eukaryota; Metazoa; Chordata; Mammalia; Chiroptera; Vespertilionidae
Exons: 4
Source: RefSeq, a predicted model, not a curated record